RNAcentral lists this ribosomal RNA (253 nucleotides) under uncultured bacterium. RNAcentral describes it as "partial 16S ribosomal RNA". It matches the Rfam family "Bacterial small subunit ribosomal RNA", at positions 524 to 776 of the family's 1533-position model. The record is from RNAcentral.
GACAGAGGGUGCAAACGUUGUUCGGAAUUACUGGGCGUAAAGCGCGUGUAGGCGGCUAAGUAAGUCGGGCGUGAAAUCCCACGGCUCAACCGUGGAAGUGCACUCGAAACUGCAUAGCUAGAGUCCUGGAGAGGAAGGUGGAAUGCUUGGUGUAGAGGUGAAAUUCGUAGAUAUCAAGCGGAACACCGGUGGCGAAGGCGGCCUGCUGGACAGUGACUGACGCUGAGACGCGAAAGCGUGGGGAGCAAACAGG